UACUCGAGUGGCGAACGGGUGAGUAACACGUGGGUGAUCUGCCCUGCACUUUGGGAUAAGCCUGGGAAACUGGGUCUAAUACCGAAUAUUUCCUUUUGGUCGCAUGGCUGGGAGGGGAAAGCUUUUGCGGUGUGGGAUGGGCCCGCGGCCUAUCAGCUUGUUGGUGAGGUUAUGGCUUACCAAGGCGACGACGGGUAGCCGGCCUGAGAGGGUGACCGGCCACACUGGGACUGAGAUACGGCCCAGACUCC
RNAcentral lists this ribosomal RNA (251 nucleotides) under uncultured Mycobacterium sp. Its description in RNAcentral is "partial 16S ribosomal RNA". It matches the Rfam family "Bacterial small subunit ribosomal RNA", at positions 88 to 339 of the family's 1533-position model. The record is from RNAcentral. Lineage: Bacteria; Bacillati; Actinomycetota; Actinomycetes; Mycobacteriales; Mycobacteriaceae.